RNAcentral lists this long non-coding RNA (566 nucleotides) under Sorghum bicolor (sorghum). RNAcentral's name for it is "long non-coding RNA (SBIC_LNC002066)". Lineage: Eukaryota; Viridiplantae; Streptophyta; Magnoliopsida; Poales; Poaceae. The record is from RNAcentral.
UGCUUUUUUCUCUUUCCCUCGCUCUUUAUUGUUUGAUUAGUAUGAUCUUUUAUGCUUUUGUAUUUUUUGUUGUUUUAUUUUUGUUGAAGUGUUGUAUGGUAAUUCUCCAGAACAUUCUUGCUGUUAUCUACUAGGGUGUUACAGUUGGUAACUCAAUUUCGUGUGGCAAAAUCUUGGCUCACUUUAAAAUUUGACAUAUUUGCGCUUGUAGGAUAGGAGUUGGGCCUUUUUAGGCACUCCCAAUGCUUUCUAUACCUAUUAAUUUCUAUAGACACUAUGUAUAGAAACUAUGCUUCCAAUAAAUAGUUUCUAUACAAUAAUUUGUUAUCUAAUCAUAUUCAUUCUCUCUCCAUUCUUAACCAAUCAUAUCACUUUAUGUCUUGGAUUUCGCGUAGACAUGGUUUCUAAGUUAGAUCCAGUUUCUAUGAUUUUUGCUCUCUAUCUUCAAUAACUACCUUGCCACAUCAGCAAAAUGCUUAGGUGACACCAUAAUUAAUGUGUAUAGAAACUAUGGUGGUUUCUGCAUUGAGAGUGCCCUUAUUCUCAUUGCAAUGUCUUGCCAUGCU